GGAACAAGAGCCAUCAAAUGGCUAUAAAAAGGCAGCAAAAUGAGGGUUCAUUUUCACCCUUCAAAGCAAGGUUUUGGUGGCUCCAUUUGAUACAAAUAGGGGGCUAAGGGAGGAGAAUGAGGAAGGUAUUGAAAAAGGGGUGGCGGCAGAAAGAAAGAAAGAAACAGAGAAAACGAGAGAGAAAAGAGGGAAGAAAAAGAAAAAUUUUGCUGAAAAAUCUCCGACCAGGCUGGCUGACUAGCCUCUUUCCUAAUCAAUUUUCGACUUGUUUUUGAACCUUUUUGAGUGAUUUGUUUUUUUCUGCACUAUCACCAGAUGUGACAGAACAAAUUUUGUUUUGAAAACAUUAUGAAAAAACAUCCCCAGUCCUUUCGAAUUGUAGUACAAACUCUUGACCUUGUCACUGCUGAAAUUUCUGCAACAAAGGUCCUGGCUUCCAGAUUUCAGCUUUGAAUCACACUCUCCUCAGAUUUCCUACGUUUAUUUGGGUAUCUUCAAACAUCAAAGGUAACUCUUAAUCUUUCCCUUGCUUGCUGCAAUCCACAUGCAAAAAGAAUUAAACUCAUUAAACAGGAACCUUGUCAGAUUAUUGCUUCAUGAGUUUUUGCACUAGCCUUAUGCGUAUUGUUGGGUCUGAUGCAUCUUAUUAAAAGAUGACAAAGCUGUCAAGUUAACGUAAAGGCCAUCAGUGAUUUUUUUAUCUCUGCAAGUUUUGCAGCUCAUGAUCUGAGUCAUGUUUUCGGGG
RNAcentral lists this long non-coding RNA (745 nucleotides) under Coffea arabica (coffee). RNAcentral's name for it is "long non-coding RNA (CARA_LNC007768)". Lineage: Eukaryota; Viridiplantae; Streptophyta; Magnoliopsida; Gentianales; Rubiaceae. The record is from RNAcentral.